UAAGGUAAGUGAUGGAGAGCCGGUAUCUGGUAAGGUAAGUGAUGGAGAGACGGCAUCUGGUAAGGUAAGUGAUGGAGUGACGGUUUCUGGUAAGGUAAGUGAUGGAGAGACGGUAUCUGGGAAGGGAAGUGAUGGAGAGACGGUAUCUGGUAAGGUAAGUGUUGGAGAGACGGUUUCUGGUAAGGUAAGUGAUGGAGUGACGGUUUCUGGUAAGGUAAGUGAUGGAGAGACGGUAUCCGGUAAGGUAAGUGAUGGAGAGACGGUAUCUGGUCAGUUAAGUGAUGGAGUGACGGUAUCUGGUAAGUUAAGUGAUGGAGUGACGGUAUCUGGUAAGGUAAGUGAUGGAGGGAUGGUAUCUGGUAAGAUAAGUGAUGGAGAGACGGUAUCUGGUAAGGUGAGUGAUGGAGAGACGGUAUCUGGUAAGGUAAGUGACGGAGAUACGGUAUCUGGUAAGGUAAGUGAUCGAGAGACGGUAUCUGGUAAGGUAAGUGAUGGAGAGGCAGUAUCUGGUAAGGUAAGUGAUGGAGAGACGGUAUCCGGUAAGGUAAGUGAUGGAGAGACGGUAUCUGGUAAGGUAAGUGACGGAGAUACGGUAUCUGGUAAGGUAAGUGAUCGAGAGACGGUAUCUGGUAAGGUAAG
Long non-coding RNA from Mizuhopecten yessoensis (Yesso scallop), 639 nucleotides. RefSeq lists it as uncharacterized. The transcript is spliced from 3 exons. The record is from RefSeq and is a predicted model, not a curated record. Lineage: Eukaryota; Metazoa; Mollusca; Bivalvia; Pectinida; Pectinidae.